RNAcentral lists this ribosomal RNA (301 nucleotides) under uncultured bacterium. RNAcentral describes it as "partial 16S ribosomal RNA". It matches the Rfam family "Bacterial small subunit ribosomal RNA", at positions 509 to 807 of the family's 1533-position model. The record is from RNAcentral.
CAGCAGCCGCGGUAAUACGUAGGUGGCAAGCGUUAUCCGGAAUUAUUGGGCGUAAAGCGCGCGUAGGCGGUUUUUUAAGUCUGAUGUGAAAGCCCACGGCUCAACCGUGGAGGGUCAUUGGAAACUGGAAAACUUGAGUGCAGAAGAGGAAAGUGGAAUUCCAUGUGUAGCGGUGAAAUGCGCAGAGAUAUGGAGGAACACCAGUGGCGAAGGCGACUCUCUGGUCUGUAACUGACGCUGAUGUGCAAAAGCGUGGGGAUCAAACAGGAUUAGAUACCCGCGUAGUCCCUGUCUCUUAUAC